This 564-nucleotide ribosomal RNA is filed under the name Talaromyces marneffei. Its description in RNAcentral is "eukaryotic LSU rRNA". The stretch from base 200 to 353 matches the Rfam family "5.8S ribosomal RNA". The record is from RNAcentral. Lineage: Eukaryota; Fungi; Ascomycota; Eurotiomycetes; Eurotiales; Trichocomaceae.
UGCGCAUGAGGAGGAUCAUUACCGAGUGCGGGCCCUCGCGGCCCAACCUCCCACCCGUGUCUCUCUCUACCUGUUGCUUUGGCGGGCCCACCGGGGCCACCCGGUCGCCGGGGGACGUCCGUCUCCGGGCCCGCGCCCGCCGAAGCGCCCUGUGAACCCUGAUGAAGAUGGGCUGUCUGAGUCGCAUGAAAAUUGUCAAAACUUUCAACAAUGGAUCUCUUGGUUCCGGCAUCGAUGAAGAACGCAGCGAAAUGCGAUAAGUAAUGUGAAUUGCAGAAUUCCGUGAAUCAUCGAAUCUUUGAACGCACAUUGCGCCCCCUGGCAUUCCGGGGGGCAUGCCUGUCCGAGCGUCAUUUCUGCCCUCAAGCGCGGCUUGUGUGGUGGGCGUGGUCCCCCCGGGGACCUGCCCGAAAGGCAGCGGCGACGUCCGUCCGGUCCUCGAGCGUAUGGGGCUCUGUCACUCGCUCGGGACGGAUCGGCGGAGGUUGGUCACCACCACAGUUUUACCACGGUUGACCUCGGAUCAGGUAGGAGUUACCCGCUGAACUUAAGCAUAUCAAAAAG